CCUACGGGGGGCUGCAGUGGGGAAUAUUGCGCAAUGAGGGAAACCUUGACGCAGCGACGCCGCGUGAGUGAUGAAGGCCUUCGGGUUGUAAAGCUCUGUAUUAAGGGAAGAACGGCUGGUAAGCAAAGAACUUAUCAGUCUGACAGUACCUUAGUAAUAGCCCCGGCUAACUACGUGCCAGCAGCCGCGGUAACACGUAGGGGGCGAGCGUUGUUCGGAAUUACUGGGCGUAAAGGGCGUGUAGGCGGCUAUAAAAGUCAGGUGUGAAAAGCCUCGGCUCAACCGAGGACUAGCACAUGAAACUAAAUAGCUUGAGUGCAGGAGAGGGGAGCGGAAUUCCCGGUGUAGCGGUGAAAUGCGUAGAUAUCGGGAAGAACACCGGUGGCGAAGGCGGCUCUCUGGACUGCAACUGACGCUGAGGCGCGAAAGCUAGGGUAGCGAACGGGAUUAGAUACCCUAGUAGUC
This 465-nucleotide ribosomal RNA is filed under the name uncultured Clostridia bacterium. Its description in RNAcentral is "bacterial SSU rRNA". It matches the Rfam family "Bacterial small subunit ribosomal RNA", at positions 338 to 795 of the family's 1533-position model. Lineage: Bacteria; Bacillati; Bacillota; Clostridia. The record is from RNAcentral.